AUUGAACGCUGGCGGCAGGCCUAACACAUGCAAGUCGAGCGGAUGAAGGGAGCUUGCUCCUGGAUUCAGCGGCGGACGGGUGAGUAAUGCCUAGGAAUCUGCCUGGUAGUGGGGGAUAACGUCCGGAAACGGGCGCUAAUACCGCAUACGUCCUGAGGGAGAAAGUGGGGGAUCUUCGGACCUCACGCUAUCAGAUGAGCCUAGGUCGGAUUAGCUAGUUGGUGGGGUAAAGGCCUACCAAGGCGACGAUCCGUAACUGGUCUGAGAGGAUGAUCAGUCACACUGGAACUGAGACACGGUCCAGACUCCUACGGGAGGCAGCAGUGGGGAAUAUUGGACAAUGGGCGAAAGCCUGAUCCAGCCAUGCCGCGUGUGUGAAGAAGGUCGUCGGAUUGUAAAGCACUUUAAGUUGGGAGGAAGGGCAGUAAGUUAAUACCUUGCUGUUUUGACGUUACCAACAGAAUAAGCACCGGCUAACUUCG
RNAcentral lists this ribosomal RNA (482 nucleotides) under uncultured bacterium. RNAcentral describes it as "partial 16S ribosomal RNA". It matches the Rfam family "Bacterial small subunit ribosomal RNA", at positions 30 to 505 of the family's 1533-position model. The record is from RNAcentral.